UUUGUUAGUUGACAUAUUUCU
This 21-nucleotide non-coding RNA is filed under the name Caenorhabditis elegans. Lineage: Eukaryota; Metazoa; Nematoda; Chromadorea; Rhabditida; Rhabditidae. The record is from RNAcentral.